This is a long non-coding RNA of Dunckerocampus dactyliophorus (ringed pipefish), 425 nucleotides long. RefSeq lists it as uncharacterized. The transcript has 4 exons. NCBI's taxonomy places the organism in Eukaryota, Metazoa, Chordata, Actinopteri, Syngnathiformes, Syngnathidae. The record is from RefSeq and is a predicted model, not a curated record.
UUUGACACUUUCAGCGGUGCUCGUCCUCCUGGCUUCGAGCGCCAACAAAGAGUGGGCGUUUCCUCCUUCAAGUUCAAGAUCCAGCAUGAAAUUGUCCUGCAGUCUCUCCGCCUCACAUCGGUCCUAAGGAUGACAAAAGACCACAUCACCCCGCCGCUUCCCGUGCGUGAGGUCGCCGAGUGAGGCAUCGCCACCAACACUUGUUAAGAUGACGCACACACAUUAAGGGCACGGGGCCGGCACACAGAACUAAAUUCCAGUUAGUUCAAAAAGUGCUGCUGCUCGAACACGGCCGCCCACUGUGAUCCUGGCAACUCAGCAGCUGAUGUUUUGCUUGGGGCGCCUGCGAGAGCAAGAUGAAGAUGAGUUUCACCUGCCAGCAAGACAAUAAUGACAGCAGACAUCCAAACCAGCAGAAGAAUGGC